Sinocyclocheilus anshuiensis is the source of this 709-nucleotide long non-coding RNA. Lineage: Eukaryota; Metazoa; Chordata; Actinopteri; Cypriniformes; Cyprinidae. The record is from Ensembl.
GGCGAGUAGGAAUCACUCCAAAAAAUAUGGAUAUUUCAAGGUAACUAAACUGAUUAGCUGCAUCAUUCUAAUCCCAUUUUAGCACAGUCACAUUUUAAAGUAUGUCUCUAUCUUUUUUUAAGUGUUUGGAUGUUUACCUCCAAUCAACAAACCAAGGACAAACCUAGUCUGAAGUGCUAUCAGACAAAUCAGAAAUAUGUUUCCCACUGAGAAAUUGCAUGGUCAAGAUUUAUUGUACAAGAUAGUGCCAUGAUUUUUCUGGGAACCUCAGCUGGCUCAGCCAUUUAGCCAGUCAACCGCAUAUGAAUAAGAUGACGGAAAUGGUCUACAUAGGACUUUUCGUCUUGGGAACUUCCAAAGUAGAUGUGAAGGCAAGUUCUAACAAGGUGACACAGGGGGCUCAAACUCCAUCCUACCCAAUGACCCCACGCUCCCACUGGACGAGUACAGUUGAUAAAGGAUGUAAAAAUCAGCUGCCCCUUGGCCUUUAUAGAUUAACGAAUAUGAGCUGUCAGCACCUCUCAUCUCCAUUAACAACGAUUUACAUCAAGUUUAAUGAGCCUGCCAGGGCCAGAUAAGACACUCACAAUGACUUCUGGGUCUGCUGUAUGCAUUAUUUCUGUUCUAGCAGCUUUGCUCAUGUGCAAAACUGCUUAAAGAGAGUUAGGUUGCUAUUAUAAUAAAAGUUAUAUUUUGUAGGGCAUUCCAU